AUCAGUGUAACAGGUCUGCCCGUUUCCAGCCCGCUAAGGCAGGUCUUAAAGCCACGCGCCGAAAAUAAAACAGCCACCACUGACGCCAGCAAGAACGAGUAUAAUCAUGUCAAGACGCUGGAGGCUGUGUUGACCUUUAAGUACAGCGGUGGAGCAGGUCAGGUGGAGGGCUACUACCGAGAGCUCAGUCUGGGGGUCCGAGUCGAUGUCGAACCAUCAGUUUUCUUCACGAGGGUCAGCACUUUACCUGCCACCAGCACUCGUCAGUGUCACCUGCUGCUGGAUGUGUUCAACUCCACUGAACACCAGCUCACGCUCUCUGCCAAAAACAACCAGGACCUGGUGCUGCAUGCCAGCGAGUGU
Danio aesculapii is the source of this 363-nucleotide long non-coding RNA. RefSeq lists it as uncharacterized. The record is from RefSeq and is a predicted model, not a curated record. The transcript has 3 exons. Lineage: Eukaryota; Metazoa; Chordata; Actinopteri; Cypriniformes; Danionidae.